CAGCCGCGUAAUUCCAGCUCCAAUAGCGUAUAUUAAAGUUGUUGCAGUUAAAAAGCUCGUAGUUGAAUUUCGGGGUUAGUAGGUUGGUCAUGCCUCUGGUAUGUACUGGUCUCACUGAUUCCUCCUUCCUGAUGAACCUUAAUGCCAUUUAUUUGGUGUUUUGGGGAAUUUGGACUGUUACUUUGAAAAAAUUAGAGUGUUUAAAGCAAGCUAACGCUUGAAUACAUUAGCAUGGAAUAAUGAAAUAGGACGUUCGAUCCUAUUUUGUUGGUUUCUAGGAUUGACGUAAUGAUUAAUAGGGAUAGUUGGGGGGAUUAGUAUUCAAUUGUCAGAGGUGAAAUUCUUGGAUUUAUUGAAGACUAACUACUGCGAAAGCAUUUGCCAAGGAUGUUUUCAUUAAUCAAGAACGAAAGUUAGGGGAUCGAAGACGAUCAGAUACCGUCGUAGUCUUAACCAUAAACUAUGCCGACUAGGGAUCGGAUGAUGUUAAUUUUUUAAUGACUCAUUCGGCGCCUUACA
Molecule: unclassified non-coding RNA, 519 nt
Filed under: uncultured Glomeromycotina
Lineage: Eukaryota; Fungi; Glomeromycota
Description: SSU rRNA
Rfam family: Eukaryotic small subunit ribosomal RNA
Source: RNAcentral